This is a small nuclear RNA of Callithrix jacchus (white-tufted-ear marmoset), 104 nucleotides long. The record is from Ensembl. NCBI's taxonomy places the organism in Eukaryota, Metazoa, Chordata, Mammalia, Primates, Cebidae.
GGGCUCACUUUAGGAGCACAUAUACUAAGACUAGAACCAUAUAAAGAUUAGCAUGGCCCCUGUGCAAGGAUGACACAAAAAUUUGUUGAAUGUAGGCCGAGCAU